GAGUUAGCGUCGGAAGCAGGAAGUGUGUGUAUGAUCAUGGAGGGGACACAAGGCGCUCUGCCGGUUCUGCCCAAACACUCGUACUGGUUUGAUUUCUACCUGUUUCUGCUGUUUGAUGUCAUCCUCUUCUUCAUCAUUUACUUCAUUAUUCCAUAAGCACGUUCAGCAUAUGACCCAAUCAGAUUCACCAAAGAAACUCUGAACCACCGCCGAGAUGGACAGUAACAGUCCGCAGGACUUCCUCACUACUGAAAACACACAUUCCAGCUUUACUUAUGAAACUUCACUGCAGACAGAAAACUAAUGUACUGAACAUGCUUCAUGCCACACUCCUGCUCAGAGAUUAACAUGGAUUGUUUAUUAACAUGAGGAAAUUACAGUGUGCAUGUGUGUAAGAAUUAAAUCCUUAUGAGUGA
Molecule: long non-coding RNA, 416 nt
Organism: Myxocyprinus asiaticus (Chinese sucker)
Lineage: Eukaryota; Metazoa; Chordata; Actinopteri; Cypriniformes; Catostomidae
Exons: 3
Source: RefSeq, a predicted model, not a curated record